Xiphophorus hellerii (green swordtail) is the source of this 415-nucleotide long non-coding RNA. RefSeq lists it as uncharacterized. The transcript is spliced from 4 exons. The record is from RefSeq and is a predicted model, not a curated record. Lineage: Eukaryota; Metazoa; Chordata; Actinopteri; Cyprinodontiformes; Poeciliidae.
GGAGAGUUCAGUCAGUAAAGUGAAGAAUCUGAGAUUGUGGGACUGCAGUUUAUCAGAGACCAGCUGGACUUCUCUGUUCUCAGCUCUGAAGUCCAAACCGACCCAUCUGACAGAACUGGACCUGUUCAGAACCAACCUGGAAGAUUCUGUAGUGAAGGAGCUCUGUGGUUUUCUACAGACUGAAGGCUGCAGACUGGAGACAUUGGAGUAUAUUGUUCAGAUGCAGUUUGUCAAAGAUCAGCUGUGAUUAUUUGGCCUCAACUCUGAAGUCCAACCCGACCCGUCUGACAAAACUGGACCUGGGAGGAAACAACCUGAAGGAUUCAGAUGUUCAGCAGCUGAAGAAUCUUGUAAAGACUGUAAAGUUCUGAUCUCUGUGAAGUAGAAAAUGGUCUCAGUGUCCUGCUGAUCCUCA